Non-coding RNA from Paramuricea clavata, 600 nucleotides. NCBI's taxonomy places the organism in Eukaryota, Metazoa, Cnidaria, Anthozoa, Malacalcyonacea, Plexauridae. The record is from the annotation of a GenBank genome assembly.
GCUGGUGUUGUGUACUCAGGUGAAUAAUAUGUUUGUGAUGUUACUCUGAGUGCAUAUCCACACUGGGCGAGCUUGAAAAAUAUGCCCGGCCACGGUGGGAUUCGAACCUACGACCUUUGGAAUACUAGCCCAAUGCUCUUCCAACUGAGCUACGCGGUCAGGACGGUUCGAGUAAGUGAUAUUUCGGAACAAUAUCUAGUUCCUUCAAUACCAAUGUGUUCUUGUAAUAUGAAUUUUUUUUUUUUUUUCUGUGCUGGUGUUGUGUACUCAGGUGAAUAAUAAUAUGUUUGUGAUGUUACUCUGAGUGCAUAUCCACACCGGGCGAGCUUGAAAAAUAUGCCCGGCCACGGUGGGAUUCGAACCUAUGACCUUUGGAAUACUAGCCCAAUGCUCUUCCAACUGAGCUACGCGGUUCAUAUUACAAGAACACAUUGGUAUUGAAGGAACUAGAUAUUGUUCCGAAAUAUCACUUACUCGAACCGUCCUGACCGCGUAGCUCAGUUGGAAGAGCAUUGGGCUAGUAUUCCAAAGGUCGUAGGUUCGAAUCCCACCGUGGCCGGGCAUAUUUUUCAAGCUCGCCCGGUGUGGAUAUGCACUCAG